Anser brachyrhynchus (Pink-footed goose) is the source of this 76-nucleotide small nucleolar RNA. Ensembl annotates it as small nucleolar RNA, C/D box 102. The record is from Ensembl. NCBI's taxonomy places the organism in Eukaryota, Metazoa, Chordata, Aves, Anseriformes, Anatidae.
AGCUUGAUGAUGAUUGUCCCCUGUGAUUGCUUGCAAAAAACAAAGUGAUCGAAUCAUUUCACCGACGCUGAAAGCA